RNAcentral lists this ribosomal RNA (253 nucleotides) under uncultured bacterium. RNAcentral describes it as "partial 16S ribosomal RNA". It matches the Rfam family "Bacterial small subunit ribosomal RNA", at positions 524 to 776 of the family's 1533-position model. The record is from RNAcentral.
UACGUAGGGGGCUAGCGUUGCUCGGAAUCACUGGGCGUAAAGGGUGCGUAGGCGGGUCUUUAAGUCAGGGGUGAAAUCCCGGAGCUCAACUCCAGAACUGCCUUUGAUACUGAAGAUCUUGAGUUCGGGAGAGGUGAGUGGAACUGCGAGUGUAGAGGUGAAAUUCGUAGAUAUUCGCAAGAACACCAGUGGCGAAGGCGGCUCACUGGCCCGAUACUGACGCUGAGGCACGAAAGCGUGGGGAGCAAACAGG